GAUGAACGCUGGCGGCGUGCCUAAUACAUGCAAGUCGAGCGAACAGACGAGGAGCUUGCUCCUCUGACGUUAGCGGCGGACGGGUGAGUAACACGUGGAUAACCUACCUAUAAGACUGGGAUAACUUCGGGAAACCGGAGCUAAUACCGGAUAAUAUAUUGAACCGCAUUGUUCAAUAGUGAAAGACGGUUUUGCUGUCACUUAUAGAUGGAUCCGCGCCGCAUUAGCUAGUUGGUAAGGUAACGGCUUACCAAGGCGACGAUGCGUAACCGACCUGAGAGGGUGAUUCGCCACACUGGAACUGAGAAACGGUCCACACUCCUACGGGAAGCAGCAGUAGGGAAUCUUACGCAAAGGGCGAAAGGCUGACGGAGCAAAGCCGCGUGAAGGAUGAAGGUCCUCGGAUCGUAAAACUCUGUUAUUAGGGAAGAAAAAAAGUGUAAGUAACUAUGCACGUCUUGACGGUACCUAAUCAGAAAGCCACGGCUAACUACGUG
RNAcentral lists this ribosomal RNA (497 nucleotides) under uncultured bacterium. RNAcentral describes it as "partial 16S ribosomal RNA". It matches the Rfam family "Bacterial small subunit ribosomal RNA", at positions 28 to 507 of the family's 1533-position model. The record is from RNAcentral.